This 372-nucleotide ribosomal RNA is filed under the name uncultured organism. RNAcentral describes it as "bacterial SSU rRNA". It matches the Rfam family "Bacterial small subunit ribosomal RNA", at positions 526 to 896 of the family's 1533-position model. The record is from RNAcentral.
CGGAGGGGGCGAGCGUUAUUCGGAAUUAUUGGGCGUAAAGGGCGCGUAGGCGGCUUGUUAAGUCAAAGGUGAAAUCCCUCGGCUCAACUGAGGAACUGCCUUUGAAACUAGCGAGCUUGAGGCCGGGAGGGGGUAGCGGAAUUCCCAGUGUAGCGGUGAAAUGCGUAGAUACUGGGAGGAACACCAGUGGCGAAGGCGGCUACCUGGACCGGUACUGACGCUGAGGCGCGAAAGCGUGGGUAGCAAACAGGAUUAGAUACCCUGGUAGUCCACGCUGUAAACGAUGGGUGCUCGGUGUCGCGGGUAUCGACCCCUGCGGUGCCUUAGCUAACGCGUUAAGCACCCCGCCUGGGGAGUACGGUCGCAAGGCUG